AUAACACGAAUCAUAGGCAGAUAAACGUGCAUAGAUUGAUAGAUA
RNAcentral lists this unclassified non-coding RNA (45 nucleotides) under Leishmania tarentolae. Its description in RNAcentral is "guide RNA". Lineage: Eukaryota; Euglenozoa; Kinetoplastea; Trypanosomatida; Trypanosomatidae. The record is from RNAcentral.